This 349-nucleotide ribosomal RNA is filed under the name uncultured bacterium. Its description in RNAcentral is "partial 16S ribosomal RNA". It matches the Rfam family "Bacterial small subunit ribosomal RNA", at positions 338 to 701 of the family's 1533-position model. The record is from RNAcentral.
CCUACGGGAGGCAGCAGUGGGGAAUAUUGGGCAAUGGAGGCAACUCUGACCCAGCAACGCCGCGUGAAUGAUGAAGGUCUUCGGAUUGUAAAGUGCUGUGAUGGGGGAUGAACACAAGGACGGUACCCCAAGAGCAAGCCACGGCUAACUACGGGCCAGCAGCCGCGGUAAUACGUCGGUGGCAAGCGUUAUCCGGAAUGACUGGGCGUAAAAGGAGCGGAGACGGUAAUGCAAGUCUGGAGGGAAAGGCGUGGGCCCAACCCCCGGACUGCUCUGGAAACUGUGUAACUGGCGUGCAGGAGUGGCAGGCGGAAUUCCUAGUGUAGCGGUGAAAUGCGUCGUUAUUAGG